Molecule: long non-coding RNA, 394 nt
Filed under: Numida meleagris (helmeted guineafowl)
Lineage: Eukaryota; Metazoa; Chordata; Aves; Galliformes; Numididae
Description: lncRNA (ENSNMEG00000002971.1)
Source: RNAcentral
UCCUCCAAGUGAGGUCCUCCAAGAUGGGCUCCCAUUUCAGCUCCCAUGUGGGGGUCCCCUCUCCCCCCCAUUUCAGCUCCAUUUUGUUCUCCGCCAUUUUGGGCUCCCAUUGGCGGGUCCCCCCCAAUCCAGACCCCCCCAUUAUUUUUAAGGGGGGGGGGAAUCCCCCCUUCCACCCCUCCAUUUCAGCUCCCAUUUUGGGGUCCCAUUUUGUGCUCCCCUUUCAGGACCUUUCGGGUUCCAUUUUGUUCUCCGCCAUUUUGUUCUCCGCCAUUUUGAGCUCCGCCAUUUUGUGCUCCGCCAUUUUGAGCUCCGCCAUUUUGGGCUCCCAUUGGCGGGUCCCCCCCAAUCCAGACCCCCCCAUUAUUUUUCGGGGGGGGGAAUCUCCCCUCCA